Molecule: ribosomal RNA, 483 nt
Filed under: uncultured bacterium
Lineage: Bacteria
Description: partial 16S ribosomal RNA
Rfam family: Bacterial small subunit ribosomal RNA
Source: RNAcentral
UUGCACGCUGGCGGCAUGCCUUACACAUGCCGGUCGAACGGCAGCACGGACUUCGGUCUGGUGGCGAGUGGCGAACGGGUGAGUAAUGUAUCGGAACGUACCUUUCAGUGGGGGAUAACGUAGCGAAAGUUACGCUAAUACCGCAUAUUCUGUGAGCAGGAAAGCAGGGGAUCGAAAGACCUUGCGCUGAUUGAGCGGCCGAUAUCAGAUUAGCUAGUUGGUGGGGUAAAGGCCUACCAAGGCGACGAUCUGUAGCGGGUCUGAGAGGAUGAUCCGCCACACUGGAACUGAGACACGGUCCAGACUCCUACGGGAGGCAGCAGUGGGGAAUUUUGGACAAUGGGGGCAACCCUGAUCCAGCCAUGCCGCGUGAGUGAAGAAGGCCUUCGGGUUGUAAAGCUCUUUCGGCCGGGAAGAAAUCGCAUAGGCUAAUACCCUGUGUGGAUGACGGUACCGGAAUAAGAAGCACCGGCUAACUACGUG